RNAcentral lists this ribosomal RNA (639 nucleotides) under Pleurotus ostreatus (oyster mushroom). RNAcentral describes it as "LSU rRNA". It matches the Rfam family "Eukaryotic large subunit ribosomal RNA", at positions 47 to 690 of the family's 3401-position model. The record is from RNAcentral. Lineage: Eukaryota; Fungi; Basidiomycota; Agaricomycetes; Agaricales; Pleurotaceae.
UAAGCGGAGGAAAAGAAACUAACAAGGAUUCCCCUAGUAACUGCGAGUGAAGCGGGAAAAGCUCAAAUUUAAAAUCUGGUGGUCUUUGGCCAUCCGAGUUGUAAUCUAGAGAAGUGUUAUCCGCGCUGGACCGUGUACAAGUCCCCUGGAAUGGGGCGUCAUAGAGGGUGAGAAUCCCGUCUUUGACACGGACUACCAGGGCUUUGUGAUGCACUCUCAAAGAGUCGAGUUGUUUGGGAAUGCAGCUCAAAAUGGGUGGUAAAUUCCAUCUAAAGCUAAAUAUUGGCGAGAGACCGAUAGCGAACAAGUACCGUGAGGGAAAGAUGAAAAGAACUUUGGAAAGAGAGUUAAACAGUACGUGAAAUUGUUGAAAGGGAAACGCUUGAAGUCAGUCGCGUCUGCCAGGGAUCAACCUUACUUUUGUGAGGCGUACUUCCUGGUUGAUGGGUCAGCAUCAGUUUUGGUCGCUGGAUAAAGGUCAGAGAAAUGUGGCACCUUCGGGUGUGUUAUAGUCUUUGAUCAGAUACAGUGGCUGGGACUGAGGAACUCAGCGCCGCAAGGCUGUCUUAGGAUGCUGGCAAAAUGGCUUUAAUCGACCCGUCUUGAAACACGGACCAAGGAGUCUAACAUGCCUGCGAG